GAUGAACGCUAGCGGCAGGCUUAAUACAUGCAAGUCGAGGGGCAGCGCGGGGUAGCAAUACUCUGGCGGCGACCGGCAAACGGGUGCGGAACACGUACGCAACUUUCCCAAAACUGGUGAAUAGCCCUCCGAAAGGAGGAUUAAUACACCGUACAAUAACGAGGUGGCAUCACUUUGUUAUUAUAGCUCCGGCGGUUUUGGAUGGGCGUGCGCCUGAUUAGAUAGUUGGCGGGGUAACGGCCCACCAAGU
RNAcentral lists this ribosomal RNA (250 nucleotides) under uncultured bacterium. RNAcentral's name for it is "partial 16S ribosomal RNA". It matches the Rfam family "Bacterial small subunit ribosomal RNA", at positions 28 to 273 of the family's 1533-position model. The record is from RNAcentral.